AAGUCGUAACAAGGUUUCCGUAGGUGAACCUGCGGAAGGAUCAUUACCGAGUGAUACUCCAAACCCUUUGUGGACCACCAGUGUUUAUCGUACCGUGUUGCUUCGGCGGGCCCGCCAUUCGUGGCCGCCGGGAGCCAUUUGCCCCCGGGCCAGCGCCCGACGGAGACAGAGGACCCACAACACUGUCUGAAGGGUGCAGUCUGAUUGAAUUGACUAAAUAGUCAAGACUUUCAACAACGGAUCUCUUGGUUCCGGCAUCGAUGAAGAACGCAGCGAAAUGCGAUAAGUAAUGUGAAUUGCAGAAUUCAGUGAAUCAUGGAUUCUUGAAACGCACAUUGCGCCCGGGAGUAUUCUGGGGGGCAUGCCUGUCCGAGCGUCAUUGCUGCCCUCGAGCCGGCUUGUAGUGUUGGGUCGUCGGGCCAUUACAGGUGGACGUGGGCCCGGAAAAGCAGCGGCGGCCCCGCCUCAGCUUCCUCGAGCGUAUGUAACUUGUCAGUCUCUCUGUAGGUCCCGGCGGUGCUUGCCGGUCAACAUCAUUAUUUUAUACGGUUUGACCUCGGAUCAGGUAGGGAUACCCGCUGAACUUAA
RNAcentral lists this ribosomal RNA (588 nucleotides) under uncultured fungus. Its description in RNAcentral is "eukaryotic LSU rRNA". The stretch from base 226 to 379 matches the Rfam family "5.8S ribosomal RNA". The record is from RNAcentral. Lineage: Eukaryota; Fungi.